Molecule: non-coding RNA, 1047 nt
Organism: Equus caballus (horse)
Lineage: Eukaryota; Metazoa; Chordata; Mammalia; Perissodactyla; Equidae
Source: RefSeq, a predicted model, not a curated record
GGUGCAACAUUAGAUGGGCUGGUCAGGGAAGGCUUCUCUGAUGAGCUGACAUUUGAGCAGGGACAUGCAUGGUAACAGUCUCUAGCCUUAUGAAGCUCAGUAAGAACCACGUCCCUGAGGUUGGAACAAAUGGACAAAAUGAAGAGGAGAAGAUGGCAGAUUGCUUAAUUUCUUGAAAUGUGAUGAUCAAGAACACAGCUUGGAAGUUCAACGGACCGUAAGUUUGAGCCAAGACUGAACCGCAAAGGACACAUUCCUACUUUCACAGAAGUAGAAUCUAUUCCUUCCCUCCUCUUGAACCUGGGCAAGCCUGAGUGAUUUGUUUGGUCAAUAGAGUGGGAUGGAAGUAACGUUCUGGAACAGCUGAGUCCCGGUCAUAAGAAGCCAGGCCAUCUCUCUCUGAGCCUUCUGGAACCAUCACUCUAGGGAAAGUAAGCUACCAAUCAGGAGUCUGAUUACCCUGAGACCACCAUGCUGUAGGAAGCCCAAGUCACAUGGAAAGGCCCUGGAAGAAGACAUGCUAUGUGGAGAGAGAGAAAAAGAGAGCGGCCAAGGAGGACUGAGGCACCAGACGUAGUUGUGCUCUCUCUGGGCCCUGCAGUGAAGUUUUGGCCUGGUGCCUAGAAACACCUCCAUGUUACUCAGAACAAGGCGAGGUGCAAACCAAACCAAUGGCACGGAAGGUCCCUUGCUGCUUCUAGAAUCUGUCCAGCUAUCGCAUCAAAAUCAUGUUCAGCAUCUGUGAAAUUGACCCUCAACUGUGAAAUCAUAUUUUAAUGAUAAAGUGCCAAAAGUGUUCUGCAAGUAUAAGGUGUGUGUCCGUGAUCCCACUCUUCUCUGCACCUCUGCCUGCUCUCCCAAAUGAAGACUGCCCAUCCGGCUCAUCACCUUGGUCCUACCUAGCUUUCCAGGCCAAGUUCAAAUUCUUCCUUUGCAAUGGAACUGAGGACCACCUCAUUGGUCCCAUAUAUCUCUUCUCUUCUUGAUCCAAAUCCCUGCUCAAAAGGAAGAUUAGCCCUGAGCUAACAUCCAUGCCCAUCUUCCUCU